Molecule: ribosomal RNA, 254 nt
Filed under: uncultured bacterium
Lineage: Bacteria
Description: partial 16S ribosomal RNA
Rfam family: Bacterial small subunit ribosomal RNA
Source: RNAcentral
GACGUAGGGCGCGAGCGUUUGUCCGGAUUUAUUGGGCGUAAAGAGCUCGUAGGCGGCUUGUCGCGUCGUCCGUGAAAACCUGGGGCUCAACCCCAGGCUUGCGGUCGAUACGGGCAGGCUCGAGUUCGGUAGGGGAGACUGGAAUUCCUGGUGUAGCGGUGAAAUGCGCAGAUAUCAGGAGGAACACCAGCGGCGAAGGCGGCGCUCUGGGCUGGAACUGACGCUGAGGAGCGAAAGCGUGGGGAGCAAACAGG